Hydra vulgaris (swiftwater hydra) is the source of this 424-nucleotide non-coding RNA. The record is from RefSeq and is a predicted model, not a curated record. NCBI's taxonomy places the organism in Eukaryota, Metazoa, Cnidaria, Hydrozoa, Anthoathecata, Hydridae.
AAAUCUGAUAAUUACCUUCACAGCUAUUAGCCAGCAAUUUCCAUGAACUUAUAAUGGCCGUAUUCUCUGAAAUUGGUAAACUUCGAUAAAAUGCAUAUUUCACUAAAAAAAAGAGCAGAGCAGUAGGAAAUAGCAUUCUGCUAUUGCUUAGGAAGAGUGCAUCGCGUUGAAAAAAUGUGUUUCAGUUAUUUAGAUGCUUCUUACAGUCUUAUUACAAAGCACCGCGAAAGAGCAGUAAAAUGGAAAUUCAUGCCACCUUCCGUACCAAAGUCAUUUGUGGGGAUAUUGCCAGCAUCAAAACUUGGGGUUCUGAACCAAACUCUAACCACUGUCCCAUGAAUACUCAAGAUAAGCACGGAUGCUCAACUGAAGCGCAAAAAGAACACUAUUAUCAUUAUUUCUAUGGAGCUGUUCUCGUGAUUGU